AUUGAACGCUGGCGGCAGGCCUAACACAUGCAAGUCGAACGAGUGGCGGACGGGUGAGUAAUGUCUGGGAAACUGCCUGAUGGAGGGGGUAACCUACUGGAAACGGUAGCUAAUAACGCAUACCAUCAGAUGGGCCCAGAUGGGAUGAGCUAGUAUGUGGGGUAAUGGCUCACCUAGGCGACGAGCCCUAGCUGGUCUGAGAGGAUGACCAGCCACCCUGUAACUGAGACACGGUCCAGACUCCUCCGGGAGGCAGCAGUGGGGAAUAUUGCACAAUGGGCGCAAGCCUGAUGCAGCCAUGCCGCGUGUGGGAAGAAGGCCUUCGGGUUUUAAAGCACUUUCAGCGAGGAGGCGUUACUCGCAGAAGAAGCACCGGCUAACUCCGUGCCAGCAGCCGCGGUAAUAC
Molecule: ribosomal RNA, 406 nt
Filed under: uncultured bacterium
Lineage: Bacteria
Description: partial 16S ribosomal RNA
Rfam family: Bacterial small subunit ribosomal RNA
Source: RNAcentral